GAUGUGAGGAUGUGGGGGAGCAUCCGCCAUCCCUGGGGGAUGCGCCCUGGCACAGACGCGUUGGAAAACAAUAGGCAGUUAUGUUAAAUGUAAACAGCUGGUCGGCCGCACACCCACAGAAAGGGCCUUCCACACACAGGCAGCACGGGAUCCAGACGGGAAGGCGGCCAUGUGUCCCCGAUGCCCCCUGCAGCAUGGUUCAGCAUCUCCCAGAGCUGGGGACAGUGAGCAUCCGCAAGCUCAUGCGUGGACACACAACUGUGGCCCCUCCUCAAGGGAAACCCCCCCCCCCCCGGCGAUGAAAAGAAACAGGGGCACGGUGGCCCACGCCUGUCAUCCAGCAGCUCGGGAGGCUGAGGCAGGAGGAUCUCGGGUUCAGAGCCUCAGAAACUUAUUGAGGUGCCAAGCCACUCAGUGAGACCCCGUCUCUAAGUAAAAUACAAAAUAGGGCUGGGGAGGUGGCUCGGGGUCCAGGGCCCCUGAAUUCAAUCCUAGGUACAAGAAAAAAGAAGCAGCCGCCGAGGUGGCCCGCGGCCCAGUGGGACAGCACCUGCCCAGCAGGCCCGAGGCCCUGGGCUCCAUCCCCAGCACCAGAGGAAAAUGAAAAAGAGAAACAAGCAAAGAGUCACUGCAGCCCUAACCGGGAAACCCCAGAACACGGUCAAGGCCAGCCUUAGCCAUUUGGUGGAGCCCUGGGUCACAGUGACAAGUCAGAGGCCGGGGUGGGGCUCAGAGCGUGUGGCAUGCCGCCAGAUUCCACUGAUAGAAACUUCCAGAAAGGAUCAGCUCUAGACCCGAAAGUAGAGCAGCAAGUGGCCGGAGCCAGGCACAGCAUCGAAGAGCAGAUGAGGAACUUUGGGGCGGUUCAUCUCCGCAGCCCCUGAAUUGUCGUGUGGCUGCACAACUCGGGCCAUUUACUAAAACUCAUCUCCCUGUGGGCUUCUA
RNAcentral lists this long non-coding RNA (945 nucleotides) under Marmota monax (woodchuck). The record is from RNAcentral. Lineage: Eukaryota; Metazoa; Chordata; Mammalia; Rodentia; Sciuridae.